GACUUUAGGAAUCCUACUCUAAGUAGGACUCUAAUUUAAUUUGAAGUCCUAAUCUAAUUAGGAUUCUAGGAGUCCUACUACAAGUAGGACUCUUAUUAAAUAAGAUCAAGCUCAAUUAAUUAGGUUCAAUUGAUUCAAUUAAAUUGCAAUCAAAUUGUAAUUAUUCCUUCUUCUACUCACUAAGAGUUAGUGAGUUAAAGAGUUAGUGAGUUAAAACAAUUAUCAAUUAAAUUGAUAAUAAUGAACUAUUAUGAUUCUAAAUCAUAAUUCAACCAUUAGAUCGGUCAAUACCUCUAAUGUGUGUGACCCCAUAGAUUCUAUUCUGUCUGGUAGUGAGAAAUAUCAUGAUCCUUAUCACAAUAUCAUUAAUACUCCUUUCAAUGGGUUGGAACAAUUCCAACUCUUCUCAUUCGGGUUCGCUGAUCACCAAGUGAACGCCUUUGAGUCUCACGAUUCACCAGUGACACCUAACAGCAUGUAGUGGCAACUCAGCAGAAUGGAAUGAUGAACCUCUAGGUGCAAUUAUCGUAUGAUACAGUCCCUCUAUCGUGGAUCCUGACAAGAUGGAGGUCAUGGAUAACUCGUCAAAUUCCAUCGUCUGUCAUAUAUCAAGAUUUAUUCGACUUAAGUUCGAAAUUGGAAAACUCUUUUUCCAAAAACUAUCUUGGCCAAGGAUUUACGAACUCAGUCUCAUAAAUCACAUAGGAUCUCUCCUAAUCUAUCAAGGCCGAUAGAUUCUAUCUAAAUGCAUUCCUACUGCUACAAUGAACCUACUGCAGCCAAUCUGCACCACAAGGACCCAAAUGGAUAGGGCCCAUGUUUAUGUGCUCGUCAAACUA
RNAcentral lists this long non-coding RNA (839 nucleotides) under Phoenix dactylifera (date palm). RNAcentral's name for it is "long non-coding RNA (PDAC_LNC014809)". Lineage: Eukaryota; Viridiplantae; Streptophyta; Magnoliopsida; Arecales; Arecaceae. The record is from RNAcentral.